AGAGUUUGAUCAUGGCUCAGAAUGAACGCUGGCGGCGUGCCUAACACAUGCAAGUCGAACGAGAAAGUCCGAGCUUGCUCGGACGAGUAAAGUGGCGCACGGGUGAGUAACGCGUGGGUAACCUGCCCUUGAAACCGGAAUAACUUCGCGAAAGCGUUGCUAAUACCGGAUAUUGUCCUUUUUGCUGUGGCAUUAAGGAUGAAAGGUGACCUCUUCAUGAAAGUUGCCGUUGAAGGAGGGGCUCGCGUACCAUUAGCUUGUUGGUAGGGUAACGGCCUACCAAGGCUGCGAUGGUUAGCUGGUUUGAGAGGAUGAUCAGCCACACUGGAACUGAAACACGGUCCAGACUCCUACGGGAGGCAGCAGUGAGGAAUUUUGCGCAAUGGGGGAAACCCUGACGCAGCAACGCCGCGUGAGUGAAGAAGGCUUUCGGGUCGUAAAGCUCUGUCAAGUGGGAAAAAAGCCUUUUGAUCAAUAGUCAAAGGGUCUGAUGGUACCACUGGAGGAAGCACCGGCUAACUCCGUGCCAGCAGCCGCGGUAAUACGGAGGGUGCAAGCGUUGUUCGGAAUUAUUGGGCGUAAAGAGCGUGUAGGCGGUUUGGUCAGUCAGAUGUGAAAGCCCUGGGCUCAACCCAGGAAGUGCAUUUGAUACUGCCUGACUAGAGUAUGGGAGAGGAGAGUGGAAUUCCCAGUGUAGAGGUGAAAUUCGUAGAUAUUGGGAGGAACACCCGUGGCGAAGGCGACUCUCUGGACCAAUACUGACGCUGAGGCGCGAAAGCGUGGGGAGCGAACAGGAUUAGAUACCCUGGUAGUCCACGCCGUAAACGAUGAGAACUAGGUGUAGCGGGUAUUGACCCCUGCUGUGCCGGAGCUAACGCAUUAAGUUCUCCGCCUGGGGAGUACGGUCGCAAGGCUAAAACUCAAAGGAAUUGACGG
RNAcentral lists this ribosomal RNA (936 nucleotides) under uncultured bacterium. Its description in RNAcentral is "bacterial SSU rRNA". It matches the Rfam family "Bacterial small subunit ribosomal RNA", at positions 8 to 916 of the family's 1533-position model. The record is from RNAcentral.